CCCAUAGGCAGUUGUGGCUGAGCUGGCUCCUGGGUGCUGGCAGCUCACCCUGUAUUCAACCCGCAGUUCUCCUGCUAGCACAGAGUUGGUCCCCUCCCAGGCCCAUGGAGUGGGUGCCUGGUGCUGGAUAGGAAGCAUUUUUGUGGGCACUGGUGAGGAAGAGCUGGGGAAGCCCCAGCCACCCACGUAAAUCUGUGCAACCCUGUUUGGUCUGGAUAACUUCAAACAAGAAGCACUUGGAGAGCCUGAAGAAUGAUGGCGAUGCUCUUAUCCAGGCUCUGGAGAGCCUGGUCCAAACUCCCAGCUCUGACGUUGACAGUGCUGUUGCUUCCUUGGCAUCUGAAAUUCUGAGAGCGGUGGGACAUGAAAAUAUCAAGACUCCCAAGUGAAAAAUUUUUGACCAUCCUUCUGAAAUGUGCAGGUUGUGUACCUUGCUCAGCACCUUGGUCCUGCAGGAACAUCUUCAGAUGUGCUGAGCAUUUAGCAAUCUGAGCUGCAGCAUUUGCAGAAUUCGAGCUGGCUCAGGAAGGGAGGGAAGCUGGUUCAGGGGUGGGGAAGGGGUAGUUUGUAUUUUAAAUCCUUGUAAGGAUGAAUUCUUGGUUACUACUUUGCUUUGCUGGCAUUACAUGAUGUAGCUCAAGUAUUUGAUAGUUUGAAAGUGUAAAUUAAAUGAAUAGUAGAGUUACUUCACAAUAUGAAGUGUUUCACUAUUUCAAGCUAGUUAGAAAUGCUAAUUUAUCUUUUGGACCGGGUGACUGCCUUGGCUGUUCAUCUUAAGGGGUCACCUCAUGCUUGUGACUGGCACUAGAAAAUAGCUUUUUAUCGAGACAGACAAUAUUGUUCAUCUCAAGCAACCAGUACCAACCACUGUGAUCACACAGAGGCUGUGUGUAGGGCAUGUAAGGAUAGAUAUUAGCCAGGUUUCUACUCACAGCCUUGUACUCGCUAGCCCCUCCUUCGUCUAGCACUGCUCAGCUUAAGCUACAAGGGCGGAGUGUUGUUCUCAGCUGCCAACGCUCCUGGCUGCAGCUGAGAACAGGUGCGGUGAUGACCCUGGCUGUCAAACCCCCAGUAAAAGCUGGUACCCUAGAAAAGGUCCUCAGUGUGUGUAGAGUUAAAUUCUU
This 1124-nucleotide long non-coding RNA is filed under the name Junco hyemalis (dark-eyed junco). Its description in RNAcentral is "lncRNA (ENSJHYG00000001795.1)". Lineage: Eukaryota; Metazoa; Chordata; Aves; Passeriformes; Passerellidae. The record is from RNAcentral.